Molecule: ribosomal RNA, 331 nt
Filed under: uncultured bacterium
Lineage: Bacteria
Description: bacterial SSU rRNA
Rfam family: Bacterial small subunit ribosomal RNA
Source: RNAcentral
GAGUGAACGCGUGGCGGCGUGCUUAACACAUGCAAGUCGAACGGAGUUACGUUUGACGAGAUCCCUUCGGGGUGACGUUGAUUUAACUUAGUGGCGGACGGGUGAGUAACGCGUGAGCAACCUGCCUCAAAGAGGGGGACAACAGCUGGAAACGGCUGCUAAUACCGCAUAACGUAUUGUUUUCGCAUGAUUACAAUACCAAAGGAGCAAUCCGCUUUGAGAUGGGCUCGCGUCUGAUUAGCUAGUUGGUGGGGUAACGGCUCACCAAGGCGACGAUCAGUAGCCGGACUGAGAGGUUGAACGGCCACAUUGGGACUGAGAUACGGCCCAG